This 816-nucleotide ribosomal RNA is filed under the name uncultured bacterium. RNAcentral describes it as "bacterial SSU rRNA". It matches the Rfam family "Bacterial small subunit ribosomal RNA", at positions 609 to 1423 of the family's 1533-position model. The record is from RNAcentral.
UCAACUACUGUUGGNCCUUGAAACUAAUUAGCUUGAGUAUAGGAGAGGAAAGUGGANUUCCCGGUGUAGCGGUGAAAUGCGUAGAUAUCGGGAGGAAUACCGGUGGCGAAGGCGACUUUCUGGACUAUAACUGACGCUGAGGCACGAAAGCGUGGGUAGCAAACAGGAUUAGAUACCCUGGUAGUNCACGCCGUAAACGAUGAACACUAGGUGUCGGGAGGAAUUUCGGUGCCGGCGCAAACGCAAUAAGUGUUCCGCCUGGGGAGUACGUUCGCAAGAAUAAAACUCAAAGGAAUUGACGGGGACCCGCACAAGUAGCGGAGCAUGUGGUUUAAUUCGAAGCAACGCGAAGAACCUUACCUAAGCUUGACAUGGGGAUGAAAAGCAAUGUAAAGUUGUAAUGAUACUUUCGGGUAUACAUCCCACACGGGUGGUGCAUGGUUGUCGUCAGCUCGUGUCGUGAGAUGUUGGGUUAAGUCCCGCAACGAGCGCAACCCCUAUUGAUAGUUGCCAGUGCGUUAUGGUAGGCACUCUAUCAAGACAGUUAUGGAUAACAUAAAGGAAGGUGGGGAUGACGUCAAAUCAUCAUGCCCCUUAUGCUUAGGGCUACACACGUGCUACAAUGGCUGUAACAAAGAGAAGCAAAGUCGUAAGGCGGAGCAAACCUGAAAAAAGCAGUCCAAGUUCGGAUUGUGGGCUGAAACUCGCCCACAUGAAGUCGGAGUUACUAGUAAUCGCGAAUCAGAAUGUCGCGGUGAAUGCGUUCCCGGGUCUUGUACACACCGCCCGUCACACCAUGGGAGCUGAGGGUACCCA